AUUCUAUUUCAAAUUGAAUAUCCCAUUGGUAAGUCUGCAGCAUGGAUUUUUAUAUACAGUGACAAAUUGUGCAGAAUAUACAUUUUUCCCUGGUUCGCAAUCUUUGGAGGAACCCGCCAUUGCUGCCUGCAGCUAUAUUUAGGGUUCCUCCGUCAGGAGGAAACCUAUUGUUAUUGUAGGUAUUAUUAUUAUUAUUCUUGUGCCAUUGAAGUCAAUGGCAGACCCUAGAACCGUAUGGUAACUUUUUCUGAAAUUUGGCACACUCAUUAAGGACAGUCAAUUCUCCACUCACACCAAGUUUCAUGUCUCCCACUAGACCACACUAGCGCCACCAACAGGUCAAAGUUGGACUUUUGUUAACACUGUAACUUUUUAACCGUUUGACCGAUUUUCAAAAAUGAGGUACCAUUGGAUUCCUUGGAUCAAGACGAAUUAAACACACCCUAUGGCGUCAAUUUCCGGUUAUAUAGAUUUUCCGCAAUUUCCGGUUUUAUCAAAAACCUUUGAAAGGCCUCAACUCCUACAAUUUUUGUCAAAUCUUCUUCAAAAUCACCAGAGAUGAUCUUCAGACCAAGCCUCACAACAUUUAUCCAACAGAAUUUUGAUCCUCACAACCGUUUGUCCGAUACAGCCACUCAAAUGCAGCAGAAAAGCUUUCAAACAGGAAGUGAAGUCAUAUCUCAGCAAAUCUUUCAGAUAUCAACACCAAACUUGGUAUGCACG
Molecule: long non-coding RNA, 723 nt
Organism: Clupea harengus (Atlantic herring)
Lineage: Eukaryota; Metazoa; Chordata; Actinopteri; Clupeiformes; Clupeidae
Source: Ensembl